This 1000-nucleotide ribosomal RNA is filed under the name Pedobacter cryoconitis. RNAcentral's name for it is "bacterial SSU rRNA". It matches the Rfam family "Bacterial small subunit ribosomal RNA", at positions 61 to 1063 of the family's 1533-position model. Lineage: Bacteria; Pseudomonadati; Bacteroidota; Sphingobacteriia; Sphingobacteriales; Sphingobacteriaceae. The record is from RNAcentral.
GUCGAACGAUACUCUUUAGCUUGCUAGAGAGGAAAGUGGCGCACGGGUGCGUAACGCGUAUGCAACCUACCUUAAUCAGGGGGAUAGCCCGAAGAAAUUCGGAUUAACACCGCAUAAAAUCACAGUACAGCAUUGUACAAUGAUCAAAUAUUUAUAGGAUUAAGAUGGGCAUGCGUGACAUUAGUUAGUUGGCGGGGUAACGGCCCACCAAGACCACGAUGUCUAGGGGAUCUGAGAGGAUGACCCCCCACACUGGUACUGAGACACGGACCAGACUCCUACGGGAGGCAGCAGUAAGGAAUAUUGGUCAAUGGAGGCAACUCUGAACCAGCCAUGCCGCGUGCAGGAAGACAGCCCUCUGGGUCGUAAACUGCUUUUAUUCGGGAAUAAACCUACUUACGUGUAAGUAGCUGAAUGUACCGAAGGAAUAAGGAUCGGCUAACUCCGUGCCAGCAGCCGCGGUAAUACGGAGGAUCCAAGCGUUAUCCGGAUUUAUUGGGUUUAAAGGGUGCGUAGGCGGCUUUUUAAGUCAGGGGUGAAAGACGGUGGCUCAACCAUCGCAGUGCCCUUGAUACUGAAGAGCUUGAAUACAUUAGAGGUAGGCGGAAUGUGACAAGUAGCGGUGAAAUGCAUAGAUAUGUCACAGAACACCGAUUGCGAAGGCAGCUUACUAUGAUGUUAUUGACGCUGAGGCACGAAAGCGUGGGGAUCAAACAGGAUUAGAUACCCUGGUAGUCCACGCCCUAAACGAUGAAUACUCGCUGUUAGCGAUACACAGUUAGCGGCUAAGCGAAAGCGUUAAGUAUUCCACCUGGGGAGUACGGUCGCAAGAUUGAAACUCAAAGGAAUUGACGGGGGCCCGCACAAGCGGAGGAGCAUGUGGUUUAAUUCGAUGAUACGCGAGGAACCUUACCCGGGCUUGAAAGUUAGUGAAUCAUUUAGAGAUAGAUGAGUCCGCAAGGACACGAAACUAGGUGCUGCAUGGCUGUCGUCAGCUCGU